RNAcentral lists this ribosomal RNA (1699 nucleotides) under Escherichia coli. RNAcentral's name for it is "partial 23S ribosomal RNA". It matches the Rfam family "Bacterial large subunit ribosomal RNA", at positions 1260 to 2925 of the family's 2925-position model. The record is from RNAcentral. Lineage: Bacteria; Pseudomonadati; Pseudomonadota; Gammaproteobacteria; Enterobacterales; Enterobacteriaceae.
ACUGUGAGGUAUGCUGGAGGUAUCAGAAGUGCGAAUGCUGACAUAAGUAACGAUAAAGCGGGUGAAAAGCCCGCUCGCCGGAAGACCAAGGGUUCCUGUCCAACGUUAAUCGGGGCAGGGUGAGUCGACCCCUAAGGCGAGGCCGAAAGGCGUAGUCGAUGGGAAACAGGUUAAUAUUCCUGUACUUGGUGUUACUGCGAAGGGGGGACGGAGAAGGCUAUGUUGGCCGGGCGACGGUUGUCCCGGUUUAAGCGUGUAGGCUGGUUUUCCAGGCAAAUCCGGAAAACCAAGGCUGAGGCGUGAUGACGAGGCACUACGGUGCUGAAGCGACAAAUGCCCUGCUUCCAGGAAAAGCCUCUAAGCAUCAGGUAACAUUAAAUCGUACCCCAAACCGACACAGGUGGUCAGGUAGAGAAUACCAAGGCGCUUGAGAGAACUCGGGUGAAGGAACUAGGCAAAAUGGUGCCGUAACUUCGGGAGAAGGCACGCUGAUAUGUAGGUGAAGCGACUUGCUCGUGGAGCUGAAAUCAGUCGAAGAUACCAGCUGGCUGCAACUGUUUAUUAAAAACACAGCACUGUGCAAACACGAAAGUGGACGUAUACGGUGUGACGCCUGCCCGGUGCCGGAAGGUUAAUUGAUGGGGUUAGCGGUAACGCGAAGCUCUUGAUCGAAGCCCCGGUAAACGGCGGCCGUAACUAUAACGGUCCUAAGGUAGCGAAAUUCCUUGUCGGGUAAGUUCCGACCUGCACGAAUGGCGUAAUGAUGGCCAGGCUGUCUCCACCCGAGACUCAGUGAAAUUGAACUCGCUGUGAAGAUGCAGUGUACCCGCGGCAAGACGGAAAGACCCCGUGAACCUUUACUAUAGCUUGACACUGAACAUUGAGCCUUGAUGUGUAGGAUAGGUGGGAGGCUUUGAAGUGUGGACGCCAGUCUGCAUGGAGCCGACCUUGAAAUACCACCCUUUAAUGUUUGAUGUUCUAACGUGGGCCCCUUACCGGGGUUGCGGACAGUGUCUGGUGGGUAGUUUGACUGGGGCGGUCUCCUCCUAAAGAGUAACGGAGGAGCACGAAGGUUGGCUAAUCCUGGUCGGACAUCAGGAGGUUAGUGCAAUGGCAUAAGCCAGCUUGACUGCGAGCGUGACGGCGCGAGCAGGUGCGAAAGCAGGUCAUAGUGAUCCGGUGGUUCUGAAUGGAAGGGCCAUCGCUCAACGGAUAAAAGGUACUCCGGGGAUAACAGGCUGAUACCGCCCAAGAGUUCAUAUCGACGGCGGUGUUUGGCACCUCGAUGUCGGCUCAUCACAUCCUGGGGCUGAAGUAGGUCCCAAGGGUAUGGCUGUUCGCCAUUUAAAGUGGUACGCGAGCUGGGUUUAGAACGUCGUGAGACAGUUCGGUCCCUAUCUGCCGUGGGCGCUGGAGAACUGAGGGGGGCUGCUCCUAGUACGAGAGGACCGGAGUGGACGCAUCACUGGUGUUCGGGUUGUCAUGCCAAUGGCACUGCCCGGUAGCUAAAUGCGGAAGAGAUAAGUGCUGAAAGCAUCUAAGCACGAAACUUGCCCCGAGAUGAGUUCUCCCUGACUCCUUGAGAGUCCUGAAGGAACGUUGAAGACGACGACGUUGAUAGGCCGGGUGUGUAAGCGCAGCGAUGCGUUGAGCUAACCGGUACUAAUGAACCGUGAGGCUUAACCUUACAACGCCGAAG